CUAGUUGAUUACGGGGCGCACCAGUGCGCGAAACCCUUUACACCUGCGCGAAAGCCGCCGAUAAGGGGGAUCCCGAGGGCUGAGGGCUGCUAUAGGCCUCGCGUUUUGUGUACCCGCUAAGGAGGUAUGGAAUAAGAGCCUGGGCAAGACCGGUGCCAGCCGCCGCGGUAAUCCCGCAGCUCAAGUGAUGGUCGAUAUUAUUGGGUCUAAAGCGCCCGCUAGCCGGCCAGACAGGUCCGUCGGGAAAUCUGCAUCGCCUUAACGAGCAGGCGUCCGGCGGAAACCGACUGGCCUUGGGACCGGAAGACCCGAGGGGUCUCCGGGGUAGGAGUGAAAUCCGAACCAUGGACGGACCAGUCGGUGGCGAAAGCGCCAUCGGGAAGACGGAUCCGACGGUGAGGGACGAAAGCUAGGGUCUCGAACCGGAAUUAAAUCCCC
Molecule: ribosomal RNA, 438 nt
Filed under: uncultured archaeon
Lineage: Archaea
Description: bacterial SSU rRNA
Rfam family: Archaeal small subunit ribosomal RNA
Source: RNAcentral